UAAGGUUGAACGAUAUCACAUUCAUGUGAAAUCAUCCCUAUUAUAACUAACAUGAUCACAAUCAAAAUCCAUAUUAAAUAUGAAGCUAUUUAUGCCAAAUAAAAGGGAAUAAAGGUAUUAGCAAAGGAACUUUCUUUUGAUCCUUCCUAUAAUAAAACUAUUAUUAAAAUAGAAAAAUCGUGUAAACUAACAAUGAAGAAAGUUACUGUAAGUCGAUGAGAAAGCGAAUUUUCUUUUAUUUAAUAUAUAUGCUGUUCCAUCAUGGUGAGAACAUAUCCAAUUUAUGGCACACAGAAUUUUCAACAAUUCUUAGAUUUUUUUUUUUUUUGACGUAAGUCAUGUGAGUAAGCCAGGUUUUUAAAAUUCUACAAUGCGAAAAUUAUGAUGCUCAUUAAUUUCAACAGAAGUAUUUUCAUGAAUUUCUUGGUGGGUAAGUUUCCUUCCUGGAUGAAGCUUUUUAUAUUCAGUCCACAUGGGGCUGUGGAAAUGCAGAAACACAUGCCCAAUAAAAUCCAGACUUCAUUUUUGGUCGUUUUGGGCCCCUACUAGAAUGUUGAGAGUGGUAAUCCAAUUUUAAGUGAAAGAGAUUUCAUCCUUAUCUUCCAGGCUUGAAGUUUACUUGCAAUUUCAUGCAAUUUUAUCUGCCCUGGAUUUUCAAAGUGGCUUCUUUAUCUUUCAUAUUUCCUUUGCUUCUUCUACAGGGACGGGUCAUACAAUUGGAAAUUGCCUGGAAAACGGAGGAGAGACCUUUGGCUUCUGGACUAGGGAACCCUUCAAAAUUUGCCAUCUUAAUUCUCAUUUCUCAACAUUGAAACAGCCCUUUUCCAAUUUCCACGAAAAGGUUGUUCAACAAGCAUUAUUGCACCAAUAUAUCUGUUGCACGUAUAGUUUUCAGGAUUUCAUAAUCCUUCAAAUGGAAUACAAGUUUUCUUGCAUUAGAAACUACAAAUCCCUUUAUUUUUCUUGACCCAAAUGCUGCACUUUGUCCUUGUUUUCGUAAAUUUCUUUACCUCUUAAUAUGGUUCAUUAAAAUAAUCAGACCAAGAUGAUGAGAUGCUGAUUUUUGUAUGCUUCCACUACUAAAGACGAAAAUUCAGAUAACGUGCUUCAGAAAAUGCCGACACUAAAUCUGAAGAAACACUAAAUGAGUAAAAAUUCCAAAUCGAAAAGUUUUCAACCGCUUAAUUAAUUUGUCUUUAGCCUGAGCUUAACGGUGACGAUAGCUCGUGCCUAGCAACAUCAAGUCAUUUUAAUGACAGGUUGAAUCAGAGCUUCUGUAGGGCCACUGGUAUUUUCCAUGCAGGCGGAAAAUAAGGUGAAAUCUCUUUCCUCUGCGUUAAAGCAUCGUUUUUAGCAUUAGAUUGAUGAAUCAUAAAAGAUAUUGAGUUAGUCGUCUUGAACGCAUAUCUUACACUUCAAAAUAACGUACAGAUACAGAAUAACAUUAAUGAGACAUUUAAGCAUGUGUCCGAGUCUAGGUAACAUGGUUGAAAAAUAAUGUACUAGUAUCUUUGGCUUCCUCAAGAAAUGAGAGUAAUACAGGGCCAUGUGAUAAUUAGCCUAACUUGACAACUAUUGCAGCGGGACUCUGCCGUUGCCAACUUAAAAAGCAGCAAAUUAUGUGAAGCAGAUUUCAAUUCCACAGGAAAAAAUUAAAAAAAAAAAAAAAAGGGGCCAGAACUUGGGAUAU
Molecule: non-coding RNA, 1690 nt
Organism: Durio zibethinus
Lineage: Eukaryota; Viridiplantae; Streptophyta; Magnoliopsida; Malvales; Malvaceae
Source: RefSeq, a predicted model, not a curated record